Molecule: small RNA, 127 nt
Filed under: Marmota monax (woodchuck)
Lineage: Eukaryota; Metazoa; Chordata; Mammalia; Rodentia; Sciuridae
Source: RNAcentral
GCCGGGCGUGGUGGUACACACCUGUAAUCUCAGCAGCUUGGGAGGCUGAGGCAGUAGGAUCACAAGUUCAAAGCUAGUCUUAGCAACUUAGUGAGGCCUUAAGGAACUCAGUGAGACCCUGUCUCUA